CCUACGUGUGGCUGCAGUGGGGAAUCUUCCGCAAUUGGCGCAAGCCUGACGGAGCAACGCCGCGUGAAUGAAGCAGGUCUUCGGAUCGUAAAGUUCUGUUCUUAGGUACGAAGUCUUAGGAUGUGAAUAAUGACUUAAGGUGACGGUACCUAUGGAGAAAGCUCCGGCUAACUACGUGCCAGCAGCCGCGGUAAUACGUAGGGAGCGAACGUUAUCCGGAAUUACUGGGCGUAAAGGGCGCGUAGGCGGGAACUUAAGUGAGAUGUGAAAACUACGGGUUUAACCUGGAGACUGCAUUUAAAACUGGGUUUCGUGAGGGCAGGAGAGGAAAGUGGAAUUCCUAGUGUAGCGGUGAAAUGCGUAGAUAUUAGGAGGAACACCAGUGUCGAAGGCGACUUUCUGGACUGUACCUGACGCUGAGGCGCGAAAGCAUGGGGAGCGAACAGGAUUAGAUACCCCAGUAGUA
RNAcentral lists this ribosomal RNA (466 nucleotides) under uncultured bacterium. RNAcentral describes it as "partial 16S ribosomal RNA". It matches the Rfam family "Bacterial small subunit ribosomal RNA", at positions 338 to 795 of the family's 1533-position model. The record is from RNAcentral.